This 37-nucleotide non-coding RNA is filed under the name unclassified sequences. RNAcentral describes it as "DUF805b RNA". It matches the Rfam family "DUF805b RNA". From Rfam's summary of the family: Bacteroidetes, Chlorobi (1 example), Proteobacteria. The record is from RNAcentral.
AAGGGGUAAUACCGAAAACCCUGAAAUAGAGUAGGUA